RNAcentral lists this ribosomal RNA (460 nucleotides) under uncultured bacterium. RNAcentral's name for it is "bacterial SSU rRNA". It matches the Rfam family "Bacterial small subunit ribosomal RNA", at positions 54 to 509 of the family's 1533-position model. The record is from RNAcentral.
CAUGCAGUCGAACGAAGAUACUUAAAAUGAGAGCUUCGGCAGGAUUUUUAUUUAUCUUAGUGGCGGACGGGUGAGUAACGUGUGGGCAACCUGCCCUAUACUGGGGAAUAAUCACUGGAAACGGUGACUAAUACCGCAUGUCAUUACGGAAGGGCAUCCUUCUGUAAGAAAAGGAGUAAUUCGGUAUAGGAUGGGUCCGCAUCUGAUUAGCUAGUUGGUGAGAUAACAGCCCACCAAGGCGACGAUCAGUAGCCGACCUGAGAGGGUGAUCGGCCACAUUGGGACUGAGACACGGCCCAAACUCCUACGGGAGGCAGCANUGGGGAAUAUUGCACAAUGGGGGAAACCCUGAUGCAGCAACGCCGCGUGAAGGAAGAAGGUUUUCGGAUCGUAAACUUCUAUCAACAGGGACGAAGAAAGUGACGGUACCUGAAUAAGAAGCCCCGGCUAACUACGUGCC